Molecule: ribosomal RNA, 543 nt
Filed under: uncultured Penicillium
Lineage: Eukaryota; Fungi; Ascomycota; Eurotiomycetes; Eurotiales; Aspergillaceae
Description: SSU rRNA
Rfam family: Eukaryotic small subunit ribosomal RNA
Source: RNAcentral
UGGAGGGCAAGUCUGGUGCCAGCAGCCGCGGUAAUUCCAGCUCCAAUAGCGUAUAUUAAAGUUGUUGCAGUUAAAAAGCUCGUAGUUGAACCUUGGGUCUGGCUGGCCGGUCCGCCUCACCGCGAGUACUGGUCCGGCUGGACCUUUCCUUCUGGGGAACCUCAUGGCCUUCACUGGCUGUGGGGGGAACCAGGACUUUUACUGUGAAAAAAUUAGAGUGUUCAAAGCAGGCCUUUGCUCGAAUACAUUAGCAUGGAAUAAUAGAAUAGGACGUGUGGUUCUAUUUUGUUGGUUUCUAGGACCGCCGUAAUGAUUAAUAGGGAUAGUCGGGGGCGUCAGUAUUCAGCUGUCAGAGGUGAAAUUCUUGGAUUUGCUGAAGACUAACUACUGCGAAAGCAUUCGCCAAGGAUGUUUUCAUUAAUCAGGGAACGAAAGUUAGGGGAUCGAAGACGAUCAGAUACCGUCGUAGUCUUAACCAUAAACUAUGCCGACUAGGGAUCGGACGGGAUUCUAUGAUGACCCGUUUGGCACCUUACGGGAAAC